UACGGAGGGUGCAAGCGUUAUCCGGAAUCACUGGGUUUAAAGGGGGCGUAGGCGGCCUAAUAAGUCAGUCGUGAAAUCGCUGGGCUCAACCCAUGCAAUUGCGAUUGAUACUGUUAGGCUUGAAUGGGGUUGAGGAUGGCGGAAUGCGACGUGUAGCGGUGAAAUGCUUAGAUAUGUCGCAGAACACCGAUUGCGAAGGCAGCCAGCUGGGCCCCUAUUGACGCUGAGGCACGAAAGCGUGGGGAGCACACAGG
RNAcentral lists this ribosomal RNA (254 nucleotides) under uncultured bacterium. RNAcentral's name for it is "partial 16S ribosomal RNA". It matches the Rfam family "Bacterial small subunit ribosomal RNA", at positions 524 to 776 of the family's 1533-position model. The record is from RNAcentral.